UAGCCAGUGGGUUUACAAGCUUGAGUCCAGUAGCUCUUGGGGAAGCAGCAGCUCUGGGCUCUGUUAGCUUUGUCUUUGCAUAUGGGGGAGCUGCCUAAGGCUGGCUUCCGAGUUCUUGGUGCUGUGGCCAGGAAGGUGAAUGGAGGCCUGGAGGGAACACAGUUUGGGAAGCACAGUCCACACAUGUGAUUCCCUGCAAAGUGGAGAGGAGCUGGCCUCCCUGAAGGGCAGGCUGUCGGGACAGACGGCCAUCAGCGUCAGCAGGCAAGGCUGGUGCUUUGACACCUGAAGGUUUUCCUGCAGAGCACACCAGAGCUGCCCCUUCCUGCAGUUGGAGACACACUGGGAGCCUCUUCUGUCUCAGCCCACGCACCGCAGCGCUCGCUCUGCCUGGAUGUUGAUGGAGCAGUGGAGAAGAAUUGGAGGUGAACCUCCCCCAAACUCCUAUUAACGCAGUCGCAGACUCAGCAGGAGUCAGCGAGGGUCCCCUCCACUCACCUGGGGCUGUGCUGGUGCUUGUGUAAUGCCCAGGGGGUGACCCUGGGGAGGCUGGGUUUCAUCGCUAUAUAUAAAACACCACUGCUCAGAGGAGGAAUGAAGUUCAAAGAAAAGGAGGUGUAGUGGGUGUUUGUAUCUCCCCAUAUUUAUAGGUUGAGACACCAAGCCCUGGUGCCUCAGGAUGUGGUUGUAUCUGGGUCUUUGAAGAGACGGUGGUGGUGCCCGAUUCUAUGUGAUCCCAUGGACUGUAGCCCGCCAGUCACUCUGUCCGUGGGAUUUCUUAGGCAAGAAUAUUGGUGGGUUACUGUUUCCUUUUCCACUUUAAAGAGAUAAUUAAGAUAAAAUAAUUAAGGGUGGGUCUUAAUUUAAUAGGACCUGACCACCGGCCCCAGAGGCACUCCCAGGGGAGCUGGGUUGAAAGGGUAUUCAGUAGGUGCCAAUCACGCCCCAGUGCAUUUUCUCCUGAUGGGACUCCGGACCAGGCGGGACUCCGGUGGCCAAGACUCAGGUGUGGCAGUGGGGGUGGUCCCAGGGCAGCAUCUACACGGCAUUCAAUCUGAGCUCACGCAUUGCAUAGGGGCCUGCAGGGGAGCUGCGGGUGAGGGUCUUCUCUGAGGAUCUGAGCCUCCAGAGCCCACAAAGCCGCUCCCACUAAACCACCCUGAUUUUCGCUUGGCCUGUGGCCAGUGGGGACCUGAGUCUGGUGGGAGACAUGGCAUCACCCUGGGUGAGGUUCUCAUCCUUCUCUGGGCAGACAAGCCUGGGCCCCAUGGGUGACCGAGUGUGGGGUUACAUCCACUUCUCAGAAGAACAAACACCGUCCGGGAAAUGGGGAGCUUGAGCCUUUGACCCACAGCAGUUAUUCCGUGCCCCUGUGGCCAGUGACCUCCUCAAGGACCUGUUGUGUCCCCAAGGAGGGCGGCAGCCCCUCCCAGCUGCGGUGGCCUGGGAGCAGACCCAUGUGCGGUGCAGCCCGUCUGCUGUCAUCCCCAAGGCGGCCCUGCCUCCGUGGCCUGUUAGCUCCGCUGACAGAGCUGUAACAGUGACAGUAGAUUAAUAUCUCUUUAAUCAGCCAAAAUGAACAUGGCACGCUGGUGACAGUCCAAUUUUCUGCUAACAGAUUGUAGCCCAUCUAAACCCAGCGCUCAGCUGAUUUUUAUUUCUGCCGGAGAUAAGUCAGUGCGGGAGGACCAGCCAGCGCCAUCCCAGCUGCCGCCUCGCUGAUCAAUAAAUCUCGCCACUGCGACGUUUCUCACCCACCUGUCAGGCGCCCGCAGCCUGGGGGACAGAAUGCGGAGCGGUGGCAUUUAGAGGCUGUGGCGGAGCUGGGAGGCAUGCCUUCAAGCUGGGUCCACGUGUCUCUUCCCUCGCUGGGAGACGCUGCUGAACGUCCUGGAGGUCAUGGGAGAGCGAGGGCAGGAGCUAUCAGAGUGCAGGCCCACGGGUGCACACAUGUGGGGUCCCAACUUGGCCUCGGCUUCGUAUAACUCUCUGGCUGCCCCUCCCCAGCCAUGGGAAGUCGCUUCUCUUUUCAUCUUCUCUGGGGGCUUGCAGAGAGUAACUCUCGUCCCACUGCUCCGCUAGAGGUGUCCAGUGGUGUGGGAGGGUGUGCUAGGCUGAGGCCAGGGGCCCUGGAGCCUCCUGUCUGGUGAUGAGCCAUCAGGGGCUUCAGGGUAGCUCCUCCCAGGGGAUAUUUUUCAUUCCGAGGAUAGAGGUCUUCCCUAAGUGUGACCGUGUCACUGGCAGGGCCCUUUAUACCCACUGGCUGUUCUUUAAAGAGUACACGCAGCCUGCUGGCAGCCCUUCCUCGGAGGACCCAUCUCGGAGGCUGCACUCCUGCCCACUUUGCCUUGAGACCAAGCCCCAGACAGUCUGUGGGUUGUGAAUUUCAUUCCAGCAGCCAGGACCCCAUGCUUUGACCAUCCCCAUGUCCAUGUCUUAAUGACACGCUUACUCUGCAGCUCCAAAUGUGGGAAGGGAGGGGAUCUCCUGGAGGCCAGAUCCAGGCCUGAGUCAUGAAGAGCCCUUGUAGGGCCCUGGCACCACUUGGGGCCCAGUGAACUUCCCUCUCGGAUCCUUGCCAUUACCAUAAAAUCUUUAUCUUAAAAAAAAAAAAAAUUGAGCAUGAGAAGCAAUAAUUAGAUGUCAGGCUUGUAGUGUUUCCCCGUGAGCUGAAGCAGGGAGACAGCACCUGCAGGCGGCUGCAAAUGGGAGGCGGGACACACCUCCGUCGGGUCCCGGCUCCAUCUUCAUCCUCCAUCCUCCAUCCUCUGAGCAGCGCUGGUCCUGCCUGCUGCCCGCACUGGCACCUCUGCUCGCCUUGCAGCUUUGUCCCAUUCCUCCAGGGACCUCUGCUGACCUGGUUGACUGGCAAAGGGGAGAUGGAGUGCUGGCAGGGGCUGCUUGCCUCCUGGGAUGCCAUUCCCGGGUGGUUUCAUUCACUCAAUCAGCAAACAUUCCCUGAGUCCUCCUGGCCUUGAUGUCUUCAACCAGCUCACUGUCCAGGAUGUGUUCAUGGCACAGAUAAAGUGACCUCCCAGGCUCUGUCCUGUGCAGGGCUGCACCAUUAGGGUAGGGAAGGCCAUCACGGUUUCUUCCCCUGUCUGGGCAGACAUCACUAAUCGAACGUGGCACUACUUUUCCUUGUGGAGCAAUGCUGCUCCCUGCCCUUGGGUGAAUCCUUUUCCAGGUGGAUGUGGUUGGAUCUUACUAGAGAACCUGGCCUGUGCUGUGUCCUUUCCACCUAGCUGGGCCCCCUUCCUUUGCAAGCCCAGAGCUUCAGGGCCCGGCUCUGUGCUCUGUGCCCAGAAGGCUGUGGGUCCACCUGGCAGGCACAUUGCUCAGUCAAACCCGAACAUCAGGGGGCACUUGCACUGUGCCUGUGGCGUCUACUUGCUGGGUUAUGGCAGUGCCUGCACCUAGUAGACCUCACCAUGGCCCUCCCACUGCCCCUCCAGGCCGUUAACUCUCACCCCAGAUGGGUUAUAGGCCUUGCUGGAGUCACUCAGCUUGUAUCUGUGACCAUGAGCCAUGCUCUGUUUUGAGGACAUGCCUACCUUUGAAGAGCUGAAGGUGGGGGACAAGUGACCCCAUGAUAGCCUCUCUGGCCACUUCCUCCUCUGAGAUCUGGAGAGAGGAGAGCGCCCCUGAUCACACCUUCAUGGCCACCAUGGGAACAGAAUUGGCUUUGCCCAUGGGGCCAGUCUGAUGGCAGCCAGGCCCCAUCAGGGGGCUCCCAGGAUGGAAGAACUUGGCCAGGGCCUGCUGGGGUGGGUCAAGCGACAGGAAGAGGGGAAGGCCCCCAGCCUCUGGCACUCUGGCUCCAGAGCCAGCUCUUGGGGAUAUCUCUGUGACCUGGCCCCCAGUCUCUCAGGACCACUGCCCACCUGGGAAAGGCAAAGGCCCUCAGGGGCUCCGACUGGGGGCUGCAGUGUCCUGGCAGGGGCCAGACUUGGUGGGGUUUAAUACGGGCUGCAUAGGACCUGGCUGCUUCUGACCUGGAGGGCAAGGGUGAAGAGAGGUGCCUGAGCAAGAAGAAGAGGGGUCUGGACAACCAUGAGAGGAGUGGGGGCCUGGGGGUGGGGCAAGCCCAGCCAGGGGAAGCUGACAGCCCGUGUGUUUCCCCUAUGUGUUCCUCUGACAUCACCUCCAUGGGCGCUUACUGGAUGGAACCUUCUGGAAGUCAGAGGAUGCAGGUGACAUGGCUGCUGUCCAUACCAGGGCAUGGAGCAAGGAGGCAGAGCACAGGCCCGAAGGGCAGACGGGCAGAGGUGCCCACGCUGUCUGCUUCCUCUGAUGGCCGGUGGGCACCCCACAUGGUUCUAGGCCUUUCUGCCUGUGCUGGGAGUACCACGUUCCACCUGCCCCCAGCAGUGUCUCCCCAGGAAGCCUGACCAGCCCCAGCCCUGCCUUGCCUUUGCUGCCCCCUCUGCUGCCCGAGGAGCUUUCUCUGAGGGCAUCUUGCUGUCUGCUCCAGGACACCUGGGCCAUCUGCCUCCUUGGCCAGCAUUGCUGUCACGCUACACGCAUCCACUGGGCUCUGCUGGGAAGCUUCCUGAGCCGAUUGAUUCCAGCAUCAAAGGCCCCUUCCCCGGGGGCCAGUGGCUCUGGAGGCCCCAAGAGCAGCUGGACAGUGAGGAUCCUGCCUGAAGAUUUAUUCUGAAAACAAGGUGACGAGUCCAGUGGAGAGCCUGGGCUGUCAGCCGUGAUUCCCGACAAGGCUGGGACCCUGCCUGCAGCUGUGCUGACAGCUGGCUUGGCUUGCAAGAGCCUCCGGAGAUCCCUAGAGGGAGGCAGAAACUACUUCUCCAGAAAAUCUCCCAAGAAGGACGGAGACACAGGCCCAGACACUCAUCCCCACGAGGGAGGACCCUGUGGCCUGCUCCUUCCCCUGGUAUGUGGGUGGGUGUGGGUAUGGGCAGCCCAUCCUGAGGCCAGACAAGUCCUCACAGGGCUGGGCAGUGCUGCUUGCUGCUGGGGGCCCUGGGUGCUUUCUAGCUCAGCCCUUACACGGGAAGUCCUUUUUAGGAGACCCCAGGCUGGGCAAGGCCGGGGAACAGCCUGGACCAGGUGGGACCCAGGCGGCCAAAUGACAUAAACUUGUCCCACUUCUCUGUCCCCAGAUACCUGCCUCAAAACCUGGGUGGGAAGUCAGCCCCUUCCCUGUGCAUCUCACUGGGUCUGUUCUAGUGUCUUCCCCAAGGCACUUAGAGAGUGGAUGGUAUGGGGUGAGAGGGACAAGGUCCCCAUGUACACACAUGCACACGGACACAGAAUGUGCACAUACAUGCGCACACAUGCAGAAAGUAUACACACUCAGAUGUGCGUGCAUACACACUUGUGCAUGGACAUACGUGAACACUGACACUACAUGCAUACACCCACAUGUACACAUAUGUGUAGAUGAGUGUGCACACUCACAUGCACACACAAAUGUGUACAUAAUCACACACACACACACGCUCACACUUGAACAUAUACUCAAAGGUGUACACACAUGCAUAGACACUCUUAGAGGGCUUACCCAGGACACAGGGCCUGGGGCCUCUCUGGCCCUCACAGGCCCAGGGGUAGGGGGCACGCCUGGUGAGCCAACCUUGAUGUGUUCACCGGUGUGAGAGGCUGCACUCUGCCUUUGCAUGUGAGAACCACAGCCCUACUCUGGGUGUGCACACAUGGCCCCAUCUGUGAUACUUAAGCAUCUGAUCUGAACAUAUGCUCAGGCCCCGGGGUGUGGGGCUGAGGCCAUGGCUACCUGGACUAGUGGGCAGCCAGCCAGGGUUCUCUGGGCCCAGCCACCAUGAAGACGGGCAGCAUCUCCCAGCCUCCAGCCCUGGUCUGGGGCCUCGUUCCCCAGGCGGGUCCUGACCCGGGGCCGCCUGCGUCUCCUGGCCCCAUCGUGGCUGACAGGGCUCUCUGGGCCGAGCCACUGUGGAGAUAGGCAGCAUCUCCCAGCCCCUGGGCCUGGUUGGGCCUCUUUCCCCAGGUGGGUCCUGACCCGGGGCCGCCUGCGUCUCCCUGGCCCCAUCGCGGCGACAGGCUGGCAUUUCCCGUCCUGUUUGCUCUUUCUCCUCCCUGUCGUGUCGACAAGCACAAUCAUGUUCCCUGACAGACGGAAAUAUCAGCCCUCGAGCAUGGGGACAAAGCAGGCUUUAAAGUUUAACGAGAGGCGUUAAUGGAAAUAAAAUGUAAAAGUCUCCUUCAAAUGUGGGGUUUCUGUUUUAUCAGAGAAAAAGUGCCCUAAAUAAUACAUAAACUAUGUGUGUUUUAGUUCUUUUACAUGCGUGAAUAUUUAAAACAUGCAAAAAUGUAGAAGACGCAUUUGCCAGGAACAAAAGGAAACACUUAUUU
Molecule: long non-coding RNA, 6348 nt
Organism: Cervus elaphus (red deer)
Lineage: Eukaryota; Metazoa; Chordata; Mammalia; Artiodactyla; Cervidae
Exons: 3
Source: RefSeq, a predicted model, not a curated record